RNAcentral lists this ribosomal RNA (1442 nucleotides) under uncultured organism. Its description in RNAcentral is "16S ribosomal RNA". It matches the Rfam family "Bacterial small subunit ribosomal RNA". The record is from RNAcentral.
GGCGGCGUGCUUAACACAUGCAAGUCGAACGGAAAGGCCCUGCUUUUGUGGGGUGCUCGAGUGGCGAACGGGUGAGUAACACGUGAGUAACCUGCCCUUGACUUUGGGAUAACUUCAGGAAACUGGGGCUAAUACCGGAUAGGAGCUCCUGCUGCAUGGUGGGGGUUGGAAAGUUUCGGCGGUUGGGGAUGGACUCGCGGCUUAUCAGCUUGUUGGUGGGGUAGUGGCUUACCAAGGCUUUGACGGGUAGCCGGCCUGAGAGGGUGACCGGCCACAUUGGGACUGAGAUACGGCCCAGACUCCUACGGGAGGCAGCAGUGGGGAAUAUUGCACAAUGGGCGGAAGCCUGAUGCAGCAACGCCGCGUGCGGGAUGACGGCCUUCGGGUUGUAAACCGCUUUCGCCUGUGACGAAGCGUGAGUGACGGUAAUGGGUAAAGAAGCACCGGCUAACUACGUGCCAGCAGCCGCGGUGAUACGUAGGGUGCGAGCGUUGUCCGGAUUUAUUGGGCGUAAAGGGCUCGUAGGUGGUUGAUCGCGUCGGAAGUGUAAUCUUGGGGCUUAACCCUGAGCGUGCUUUCGAUACGGGUUGACUUGAGGAAGGUAGGGGAGAAUGGAAUUCCUGGUGGAGCGGUGGAAUGCGCAGAUAUCAGGAGGAACACCAGUGGCGAAGGCGGUUCUCUGGGCCUUUCCUGACGCUGAGGAGCGAAAGCGUGGGGAGCGAACAGGCUUAGAUACCCUGGUAGUCCACGCUGUAAACGGUGGGUACUAGGUGUGGGGUCCAUUCCACGGGUUCCGUGCCGUAGCUAACGCUUUAAGUACCCCGCCUGGGGAGUACGGCCGCAAGGCUAAAACUCAAAGGAAUUGACGGGGCCCCGCACAAGCGGCGGAGCAUGCGGAUUAAUUCGAUGCAACGCGUAGAGCCUUACCUGGGUUUGACAUGGAUCGGGAGUGCUCAGAGAUGGGUGUGCCUCUUUUGGGGUCGGUUCACAGGUGGUGCAUGGCUGUCGUCAGCUCGUGUCGUGAGAUGUUGGGUUAAGUCCCGCAACGAGCGCAACCCUUGUUCACUGUUGCCAGCACGUUAUGGUGGGGACUCAGUGGAGACCGCCGGGGUCAACUCGGAGGAAGGUGGGGAUGACGUCAAGUCAUCAUGCCCCUUAUGUCCAGGGCUUCACGCAUGCUACAAUGGCUGGUACAGAGAGUGGCGAGCCUGUGAGGGUGAGCGAAUCUCGGAAAGCCGGUCUCAGUUCGGAUUGGGGUCUGCAACUCGACCUCAUGAAGUCGGAGUCGCUAGUAAUCGCAGAUCAGCAACGCUGCGGUGAAUACGUUCCCGGGGCUUGUACACACCGCCCGUCAAGUCAUGAAAGUUGGUAACACCCGAGGCCGGUGGCCUAACCGUUGUGGGGGAGCCGUCGAAGGUGGGACUGGUGAUUAGGACUAAGUC